RNAcentral lists this ribosomal RNA (301 nucleotides) under uncultured bacterium. Its description in RNAcentral is "partial 16S ribosomal RNA". It matches the Rfam family "Bacterial small subunit ribosomal RNA", at positions 509 to 807 of the family's 1533-position model. The record is from RNAcentral.
CAGCCGCCGCGGUAAUACGGAGGGAGCUAGCGUUGUUCGGAAUCACUGGGCGUAAAGCGCACGUAGGCGGCUAUUCAAGUCAGGGGUGAAAGCCCGGGGCUCAACCCCGGAACUGCCUUUGAAACUAGAUAGCUUGAAUCUUGGAGAGGCGAGUGGAAUUCCGAGUGUAGAGGUGAAAUUCGUAGAUAUUCGGAAGAACACCAGUGGCGAAGGCGACUCGCUGGACAAGUAUUGACGCUGAGGUGCGAAAGCGUGGGGAGCAAACAGGAUUAGAUACCCCUGUAGUCCCUGUCUCUUAUAC